Molecule: ribosomal RNA, 130 nt
Filed under: Alcanivorax jadensis
Lineage: Bacteria; Pseudomonadati; Pseudomonadota; Gammaproteobacteria; Oceanospirillales; Alcanivoracaceae
Description: partial 23S ribosomal RNA
Rfam family: Bacterial large subunit ribosomal RNA
Source: RNAcentral
AGUCAAGUGAAUAAGCGUACACGGUGGAUGCCUUGGCAGCCAGAGGCGAUGAAGGACGUUGUAGCUUGCGAUAAGCUUCGGGAGGUAGCAAAACAACCUUUGAUCCGGAGAUUUCCGAAUGGGGAAACCC